Molecule: ribosomal RNA, 305 nt
Filed under: uncultured bacterium
Lineage: Bacteria
Description: partial 16S ribosomal RNA
Rfam family: Bacterial small subunit ribosomal RNA
Source: RNAcentral
ACAGCAGUAGCCGCGGGAAAACGGAGGGGGCUAGCGUUGUUCGGAAUUACUGGGCGUAAAGCGCACGUAGGCGGCUUGGUAAGUUAGAGGUGAAAGCCUGGAGUUCAACUCCAGAAUUGCCUUUAAGACUGCCGAGCUAGCAGGUGAGAGAGGUAAGUGGAAUUCCGAGUGUAGAGGUGAAAUUCGUAGAUAUUCGGAAGAACACCAGUGGCGAAGGCGGCUUACUGGCUCAUACUGGACGCUGAGGUGCGAAAGCGUGGGGAGCAAACAGGAUUAGAUACCCGCGUAGUCCCUGUCUCUUAUAA